This 301-nucleotide ribosomal RNA is filed under the name uncultured bacterium. RNAcentral's name for it is "partial 16S ribosomal RNA". It matches the Rfam family "Bacterial small subunit ribosomal RNA", at positions 509 to 807 of the family's 1533-position model. The record is from RNAcentral.
CAGUCGCCGCGGUAAUACGAAGGGUGCAAGCGUUAAUCGGAAUUACUGGGCGUAAAGCGUGCGUAGGUGGUGGUUUAAGUCCGUUGUGAAAGCCCUGGGCUCAACCUGGGAAUUGCAGUGGAUACUGGCUCGCUAGAGUGUGUCAGAGGAUGGUGGAAUUCCCGGUGUAGCGGUGAAAUGCGUAGAGAUCGGGAGGAACAUCAGUGGCGAAGGCGGCCAUCUGGGACAACACUGACGCUGAGGCACGAAAGCGAGGGGAGCAAACAGGAUUAGAUACCCGUGUAGUCCCUGUCUCUUAUAC